This 304-nucleotide long non-coding RNA is filed under the name Nicotiana benthamiana. RNAcentral's name for it is "long non-coding RNA (NBEN_LNC001765)". Lineage: Eukaryota; Viridiplantae; Streptophyta; Magnoliopsida; Solanales; Solanaceae. The record is from RNAcentral.
CGCCUUUCUCCCCUAAUUCCUCGUACAUGCGACCAAACGUCGCGUUUUUUGCUUCCGUAACCGCCAUCUUUGCUUCAAGUUGGAUAAUCAUUGCUCAAUAAACGAUCAAGAGGACAACCCAAAAUCGAUGUUCAACUGUCUUAAGGCCUACCAGUUUAAAUAUUGAAUCUAGUGUACAUGCUUCCCCAAAUUCUGAGGACACCAUGUGACCAAACAGUCAUGUUCAGUUGCCUGAAGGCCUACAAGUUGACAUUAACUUAGUGUACUCUUUUAUGCACAAUCUAGGACAUCAAAAGGAGGAAAA